CUCCUUGCCUGAAGCGAGACGCCACCAAAUCGACAGGUUUAAUUCAUGCCGUGUUCCUGGUCGUGUGGGUGGAGUCAGCCUCAGCUUUGACCCUCGCAACAUAUGCCCCUACCAUAGUAAACCCACACCAGGAGGCCACCUCAUGGCUCUGGGGAGGCUCCUCCUGAUUCUGUCUCUUGUCUCAGGUAGGAACCCAGCUCCUUCUGUAGGCCUCAUGCACACAUCUUCAUCCUGCAUUCCUUGAGUUAUGGGUCCCAUGAUUUGCUCGCUGUGAAAUUGCCCCACAAUGCAGUACUGUUGGUUGAAUCCCUCCCACAUUGAAGAAGGGUCUCGAACCCAUCUCUUUGAGAGCCACUUCUCUCCUGAUUUCCUGACAGCUCCAUCAAUGAGCCCAACAGCAUCUGCUAUGAUUAUCUAUGCAUUUGCUGUUUGAAUGUUGCUUCUACUGGAGCUACUGGAGGGACAUGAACCAGCAACAUGGUGGUGACACACACACAAGCUGUGUAUCCAGAGUCCUGUGUCUGUGUCUAAAAUUCUUUGUCUGUUGUUGAUGCACAUUGUUUACUGAGUUGUACAUGACUUUGGAGAUAAGUGUCUGACAAAUGAAUCAGUGAAAAUGUAAUUGCUGUGCUGUAGCCUGUCAGGAUUUCUGGACCUCCUUCUGCAGGUGUGUCUACAGGUGAUGGAGACGAGAGCACCGGCCCUGCUGAGGUCCGCCUGGCGCAGUGGCUGGAAGAGAUGCUCGAGAACGAAACAACUCAACUGCAGCCGCUCCAGGAAGGGAGGAAGCCUGUCCGGGUCAUCCUGGACCUUCAUGUGCUCAGCAUUCUGGACGUGCAGUUCUGGGAAGACGAGCGUCUCUCCUGGGAUCCCGCUCACCACCGUGGCGUUCGCAGAGUGAACCUCCCUGAGGAGAAGCUCUGGGUUCCUGAUGUCGUCCUUGCUGAGAUGUGAGUAGGACGGGUCUUAGGACGGGUCUCAGGACAUCAGGCCAGUGUGGGUUUGCGUUCUUUUUGUUUCCUCGUGUCCAGCUACCCGGUGGUUUAUUUCACAUCCGUGCACCAGCAAACAGCUUUCUGUAGGGUCAGGGCUUAGUGUUAGGGUUACGAGUAAUAAAAUUACAUUCA
RNAcentral lists this long non-coding RNA (1127 nucleotides) under Scleropages formosus (Asian bonytongue). RNAcentral describes it as "lncRNA (ENSSFOG00015025006.1)". Lineage: Eukaryota; Metazoa; Chordata; Actinopteri; Osteoglossiformes; Osteoglossidae. The record is from RNAcentral.